This 254-nucleotide ribosomal RNA is filed under the name uncultured bacterium. Its description in RNAcentral is "partial 16S ribosomal RNA". It matches the Rfam family "Bacterial small subunit ribosomal RNA", at positions 524 to 776 of the family's 1533-position model. The record is from RNAcentral.
UACGGGGGGAGCAAGCGUUGUUCGGAUUUACUGGGCGUAAAGGGCGCGUAGGCGGCCACCGCAGGUCGGUUGUGAAAUCCCCGGGCUUAACCUGGGAACUGCAGUCGAGACUGUCUAGCUAGAGUAUGGGAGAGGGAAGUGGAAUUUCAGGUGUAGCGGUGAAAUGCGUAGAUAUCUGAAGGAACAUCAGUGGCGAAAGCAACUUCCUGGACCAAUACUGACGCUCAUGUGCGAAAGCGUGGGGAGCAAACAGG